Molecule: long non-coding RNA, 578 nt
Organism: Eriocheir sinensis (Chinese mitten crab)
Lineage: Eukaryota; Metazoa; Arthropoda; Malacostraca; Decapoda; Varunidae
Exons: 6
Source: RefSeq, a predicted model, not a curated record
GGUAGAAUAGUCUGACUCAACCAGACCCUGGAAUACGGUAGCCUGGUCGAAUAUCACUGUCUACCGGAACACAGGCUGGUCGGGGGGAGCUUCCGGAGGUCAUGUGGCGAGCUGGGCGAGUGGUUGGGUGGAGAACCGAAGUGUGUGUUGGGUCCAGAGGAUGCCUACAACACCAUAGGCUCCGAUAGUAGUAGUAGUGUGAGUACUACUUCUACUUCUACCGCUAGCAACACCGGGCUCUACAUCGGACUAUUCUUCGGGCUCAUCCUGGCGAUAGUCUUCAUAGGAGUGCUAGUCUACUUCAGAAUGUUUUGGGCGCCCAGCCGUACACGUGAACUAACAGUCUUGGCUUCAGGGCAGGUCGCUAAAAUGAAACCACUACAUGCGUGAGAUGACCCGACCCGCCCCGCCCCAACCAACCAUCAUGACCUGCCCGCCCCCUGGCAUACAUUGUUUCCAGAAACCCCUAAAUGACCGACUCUUCCAUGCCUGAGAUGACCCGCCCUGCCCUGCGUCAUGACCUCCCGGCAUAAAUUAAAACCGUGCGCUGAAUGGAUGACUUUUUAAUGCUGGAGGUC